GACGUAGGGCGCGAGCGUUGUCCGGAAUUAUUGGGCGUAAAGAGCUCGUAGGCGGUUUGUUGCGUCGGCUGUGAAAUCCCGAGGCUCAACCUCGGGUCUGCAGUCGAUACGAGCAAACUAGAGUGUUGCAGGGGAGACUGGAAUUCCUGGUGUAGCGGUGAAAUGCGCAGAUAUCAGGAGGGAACACCGGUGGGCGAAGGCGGGGUCUCUGGGCAACAACUGACGCUGGAGGAGCGAAAGCGUGGGGAGCGAACAGG
RNAcentral lists this ribosomal RNA (257 nucleotides) under uncultured bacterium. Its description in RNAcentral is "partial 16S ribosomal RNA". It matches the Rfam family "Bacterial small subunit ribosomal RNA", at positions 524 to 776 of the family's 1533-position model. The record is from RNAcentral.